CUUUUAGCGACGUUGACCAUGAUUGACCGGCUUGUCUACCUCGUCUUUAGCCGGAAACUCCAAUUUGCUCUAAUUUCGCACGACUUCUCUUGUUUUCCGUAACUCCCCUUAUUUUCCUACAAAAUAAAUAAAAAGGGAUAAAUUACAUAUUAAUUGCUAUGAGGCACUACCAGGACAAGCACUUUAGCCGACGAAAUUUUUUCGUCGGCCUGUUAGCUUAAUUCGUCGGUUAACAUCUUACCCGACGAGCCUUCGUCGGCUAUAGUUUCGUCGAGAAAGAGGUGUCGGCUAAAGUAUGUAAUAAAAAAUUAAAAAAUAACUAUAGCCGACAAAAUAUAGUCUGUUUCGUCGGUUUUAGAAGUGUUUAGCCGACGAAACAUGUCAUAAUUCGUAAGCUAAACCUUAUAAAAAAAUUAAAAAAUACUAUAGCCGACGAAUAUCUUCGGCUAAAGUAUUUAAAUAUCGUCGGCUAAAGUUGCUAGUUUUUGAAAAAUAAAACUGCAUAAACUUUCGGCCACCUCCAAUCACCACGAAAAUUUGACAGAAUCUUCCUCUCAACAUUUCGAACAACUUUCUAGAAGAAGUCAAAGCCCAAUUCUAAGCCUAAAUAGGUCAAUUGAAUCAAAAUAUAAAAUCCCCAAUUUUAAACCCUAAAAACUUCAAAUCUUCGAUUCUCCUCACACACACCGAAUCGAGCUACCAAAUUCUAGGGGAAUGUAGUACUAAUCAAACUCAACUUAUCCAUAUAUAGAACUCACCAAAUGGUGACCUGAGGAAUGAGAAAUUUGAUCGACACCAAAUCCGAACCGACGGAGUUUUGGAGCUCGAUUUAUCGCUCACGGCGGCGCCACUCGAUACACCACAUGUCCAGCAAUGAAGUAGAGACGACGACAAAGCUUUUGGGACAAGUGUGGCGGUCUCCGGUGGUUUGACGGCGGAGCUAGGCCGAGAAGAAAAUCCGGUAGGCGAAACAAUAACUUUUUCUGAUUUUCUGACUUUUUACCAUCCACCUCCGGUAAAACUCCUAUAUAAAUAACUUUACCCGACAAUAGCCAACGACUUUUCAUAUAUUUUCGUCGGCUAAAGUCCUUUUAAAAUUUUCCUUCAAAUUUGGUUUACCGCCAAAAAAAUUUUGACCUUAGCCGACGACUUUUUUAAUAUCUCGUCGGCUAAAUUCUAUAAAUUCACGAAAACGCUCAUAUCUCCCUCUAUAUUACGUAGUUUGGUCAAACCUUCCAAACGAAAAACUUUCAUGUAGAUGAGACACAACCG
Molecule: long non-coding RNA, 1272 nt
Filed under: Fragaria vesca (wild strawberry)
Lineage: Eukaryota; Viridiplantae; Streptophyta; Magnoliopsida; Rosales; Rosaceae
Description: long non-coding RNA (FVES_LNC004638)
Source: RNAcentral